GACAACUAUGCAAAUAGAACACUGGAAAGAAAUGUAAAUGCUGCUAACUUCACAAGGAAAGAAGAUGGAGAAAGAAAAAUAGAUGUGAUAACUUGGACAUUUCCUGGUGUUUAACCAUCGAGAACAAGAGUCCAAAGCUAAAAAAAAAAAAGCAUUUUCAAGCAGACCAUGGAUGUUCCAGCUUGGAAAGACUAUAGAAUACAAGAUGGAAAUAUUUAACAUGCUCACAUAGCAAGAUUCUGUUUUUCCCUGCAUACCAUGAGUAGAUGAGAUUGAAACUGAGAAGAGAGAAACCAAGGAGACUGCAAGGCACUCCUAAAUAAUAGUAGUCAUGCUGUUUAUUUUGUGAAAGCAUCCUUCAGCAACAGACUUAAGAAUUGUCCCUGUCCCUAACUGAACAGAGGGAAGAAAUGGAAAAAAAUGCAGAACCAGCUGCUACAGUUGCUGACUUUCUAAGGGAAGCCAAAAAAAAUGUCACAUCCCUGAAGCCUGCCCUGACUUUUGCCAUCAAGGUGCCACUGUGCUUUCUCUGAAACUUCCCGACAUUUGUCAUUCCAUUGAUAUAAAUAUACUAUCAGUCAAUUCAACAUUUAAGGUGAGUUCAUAACACUGACUUACAGAAGAGCAUUACAGUAUUUUCCAUAUCAUUCUCAAUCAUAUCCUCAUUUUUUUCCCUCAACAUUGUACAUUGAAAUACUCACAAUGAUGCAUAGAUCCUUUUCCUGAGAGGUUACAAUGCAGAAUGAAAUAAGAAUACUUUCUGGUAAUAUAUUACUUGUCACACAGUGAUUUCAAAGCACUUUGUUAACAAAGAAAGAUUAUUACCAUCAAUUUAAUGGGAACUGAAACACAUAAGUUAAAUUACUUUUUCAAAGUUGAACAGAAAGUAAGUUACUACAUUAUGAACAUAAUUCAUGUUCCUGUCAUUAUAGUCUUUAAUUCCAUCUAGUGGAACACACUUCCUUUCAGGCUGUCUUCUACAUAACAAUUUACUGCCCACUUAGCAGAACACAGGCUUAAAUUCAUGGAUAUCUGUUGUAUCAAGGCAGAAUCUGGGUUUACAUAAUCAUAUGACAUGACUUUGAGUGGAUGGAGCCAAGGGGAAUUGCUUCACUGCAUCUG
Molecule: long non-coding RNA, 1122 nt
Filed under: Capra hircus (goat)
Lineage: Eukaryota; Metazoa; Chordata; Mammalia; Artiodactyla; Bovidae
Description: lncRNA (ENSCHIG00000002574.1)
Source: RNAcentral